UACAGAGGUGGCAAGCGUUGUUCGGAAUUACUGGGCGUAAAGGGCGCGUAGGCGGCCAUCUAAGUCAGACGUGAAAUCCCCCGGCUUAACCUGGGAACUGCGUCUGAUACUGGAAGGCUUGAGUAUGGGAGAGGGAUGUAGAAUUCCUGGUGUAGCGGUGAAAUGCGCAGAUAUCAGGAGGAACACCGGUGGCGAAGGCGGGUCUCUGGGCCGAUACUGACGCUGAGGAGCGAAAGCGUGGGGAGCGAACAGG
RNAcentral lists this ribosomal RNA (253 nucleotides) under uncultured bacterium. RNAcentral describes it as "partial 16S ribosomal RNA". It matches the Rfam family "Bacterial small subunit ribosomal RNA", at positions 524 to 776 of the family's 1533-position model. The record is from RNAcentral.